This is a non-coding RNA of Triticum urartu, 125 nucleotides long. Lineage: Eukaryota; Viridiplantae; Streptophyta; Magnoliopsida; Poales; Poaceae. The record is from Rfam.
AUAGUACUCCCUCUGUCCGGAAUUACUUGUCGCGAAAAUGUAUAAAAGUGGAUAUAUCUAGAACUAAAAUACGUCUAGAUGCAUCCAUUUCUUUAACAAGUAUUUCCGGACGGAGGGAGUAUAUG